Molecule: regulatory RNA element, 75 nt
Organism: Desulfopila aestuarii DSM 18488
Lineage: Bacteria; Pseudomonadati; Thermodesulfobacteriota; Desulfobulbia; Desulfobulbales; Desulfocapsaceae
Rfam family: c-di-GMP-I-GGC riboswitch aptamer
Source: Rfam
UGUAAGAAAACCAAACCUGCUGCGAAGCAGGGACGGAAAGCCACGGGUCUUAAUAAGAUAGCCGAGUUGCCAUGA